AUAGAACAAAUUAGAAUGAGAGAUAAUCAGAUAAUUUUUGAUAUUGGUGAUGAAUACAUGAAUAUUUCUCUAUAUGCUUCCACUGAGCUAACAACUUUUGGCAGAUUGACAGCUAGCAUGCUAACUAUCUUGACAGCUCAUAAAGCAAAACAAAUAACAGAAAGCAAUUAACAAACUUGACAAGAAGGAAUUGGCAAUUAAUCAAUUUAUCUCUAG
Molecule: unclassified non-coding RNA, 216 nt
Filed under: Hevea brasiliensis (rubber tree)
Lineage: Eukaryota; Viridiplantae; Streptophyta; Magnoliopsida; Malpighiales; Euphorbiaceae
Source: RNAcentral